RNAcentral lists this ribosomal RNA (164 nucleotides) under Quercus environmental sample. RNAcentral describes it as "5.8S ribosomal RNA". It matches the Rfam family "5.8S ribosomal RNA". From Rfam's summary of the family: 5.8S ribosomal RNA (5.8S rRNA) is a component of the large subunit of the eukaryotic ribosome. The record is from RNAcentral. Lineage: Eukaryota; Viridiplantae; Streptophyta; Magnoliopsida; Fagales; Fagaceae.
AAAACAACUUUCGGCAACGGAUUUUUAGGUUUUCCAAUCAUUAAAAAACGUACCGAAUUGCAAUAUUUGGUGUGAAUUGCAAAUUCCCCCAAAUCUUCAAUUUUUUAAACCCAAUUUGCCCCCAAACCCUUUCGGCCAAGGGAACUUUUGCUUGGUUGUCACGC